Molecule: ribosomal RNA, 643 nt
Filed under: uncultured Actinomycetes bacterium
Lineage: Bacteria; Bacillati; Actinomycetota; Actinomycetes
Description: bacterial SSU rRNA
Rfam family: Bacterial small subunit ribosomal RNA
Source: RNAcentral
CGCGGCCUAUCAGCUUGUUGGUGAGGUAACGGCUCACCAAGGCGACGACGGGUAGCCGGCCUGAGAGGGUGACCGGCCACACUGGGACUGAGACACGGCCCAGACUCCUACGGGAGGCAGCAGUGGGGAAUAUUGCACAAUGGGCGCAAGCCUGAUGCAGCGACGCCGCGUGAGGGAUGACGGCCUUCGGGUUGUAAACCUCUUUCAGCAGGGGAGAAGCGAAAGUGACGGUACCUGCAGAAGAAGCGCCGGCUAACUACGUGCCAGCAGCCGCGGUAAUACGUAGGGCGCGAGCGUUGUCCGGAAUUAUUGGGCGUAAAGAGCUUGUAGGCGGUUUGUCGCGUCUGCUGUGAAAGCCCGGGGCUUAACCCCGGGUUUGCAGUGGGUACGGGCAGACUAGAGUGCAGUAGGGGAGACUGGAAUUCCUGGUGUAGCGGUGAAAUGCGCAGAUAUCAGGAGGAACACCAAUGGCGAAGGCAGGUCUCCGGGCUGUAACUGACGCUGAGAAGCGAAAGCAUGGGGAGCGAACAGGAUUAGAUACCCUGGUAGUCCAUGCCGUAAACGUUGGGCACUAGGUGUGGGGAACAUUCCACGUUUUCCGCGCCGUAGCUAACGCAUUAAGUGCCCCGCCUGGGGAGUACGG